AUAUACUACAACAGCACAACCUUACCGCUGUCCCUGUCUCCCACGAAACCCCAAACACCAUAAAAUCCCCAAUUCUCAAUAAAUCCUCUCUUAUUGCAAUUGCAUCAAUCUCCCCGUCUGUACCUCCAUUAGCCAUGGACGCUCAGAGAGCUCUGCUAGACGAGCUUAUGGGUACAGCUCGUAAUUUGACGGAUGAAGAGAGAAAGGGUUACAAGGAAAUUACCUGGGACAGUAAGGAGGUUUGCGCUUGCUAUAUGGUUCGGUUUUGUCCGCACGAUCUCUUCGUCAAUACGAGGAGCGAUCUGGGACCAUGCCCUAGAAUACAUGAUCAAAAGUUGAAAGAAAGUUUUGAGAAGUCCCCAAGACACGAAGCAUAUGUGCCAAAAUUUGAAGCUGAACUAGCUCAGUUUUGCGAAAAAUUGGUGAUGGACUUGGAUAGAAGAGUUAGGCGGGGGCGAGAACGCCUUGCUCAAGAGGUGGAACCCACCCCAGGACCUCCCUUAUCAGCUGAAAAAUCUGAACAGUUUUCCGUGCUGGAAGAAAAAAUAAAGAACCUGCUGGAACAAGUGGAGGCCCUUGGUGAAGCUGGGAAGGUGGAUGAAGCUGAAGCACUCAUGAGAAAGGUGGAGGUGCUUAAUGCGGAGAAGACAGCCUUGACCCAACAACCUCAGAAUGAUAAGAUGUUGAUGCUUGCUCAGGAGAAAAAGAUGGCUCUCUGUGAGGUCUGUGGUUCUUUUCUUGUAGCAAAUGAUGCGGCUGAGAGAACCCAGUCUCACAUCACAGGGAAGCAGCACAUUGGUUAUGGCAUGGUCCGGGAUUUCAUCGCUGAGUACAAGGAUGCUAAGGAGAAGGCAAGGGAAGAGGAAAAAUUAGCUAGGGAGAAAGAAGCAGAGGAUCGAAGGAAGCAAAGGGAGAAGGAUAAUGAGAGGAGGAGAAGUGAUUCAGGUGACAGGGACAAGAAUCAUGAUCGUGAUCGAGAUAGGGAGCAAGUUAGAUACCGAGAACGAGACAGAGAUCGUGAAAGGUCUAGAGACUGGAAUGCUAGAGGUAAUCGGGAUGGAGGAAGAGGGGAUUGGAGGUUCAGGAAUGGAAGAGAUGGAGGCAGGGAUAGGUACCGUGAUCGGAGCAGGUCACGUUCACCUGAUAGGCAUGGUCACAGAAGGUCACCUAGAAGUCCAGUUCGUCCGUAUUAGUGGAUUGUGUCGAUAGAUUUCUGAGCUUUAAAAUUAAAUGAGGUAGAUUUUUUUUUCUUGAAACUUCUAUGAACAUGUGUUUGAGUCUCAAGUUAUCUUGUCAUUGUGGGUGAAAUUUUCUUUUCCUAUCUCACAGCUUUGUUGAUACUAUACCAUCUACCUUUGUUGAGACUAUAACGUCUCCAUUUCAUCAAUUUUUUAAAUGGAGAAAAGGGUUGAGGUAGGUAUAACUUCAUUGUGGUAACUCUUUUCAUAAUCUAUUUUAGGCUUUGGUGGAAUUCUUUAUAUGUGUUGUCUGUAUCUGAAACAAUGUUUUCAGAGACUCUUAUUAUUUGGGAGCCAUAUUGGGCUAUUUACUUUGUUCUCAGUAUUUUAAGUGGUCAGACUCGAAAAUUAUUUGCAUGAUUGACACUGCUGCUGAGAGAGAUGAUGGUGUUUUUCUCAUUUUUGAGGUAACAAUUAGACCUGUUUCUAUCAUCGCAGCUCCCAUAGAUUGAUAUUUCCUUGUCAGAUUUUCUUUCCCCUUAUUUUUCUGGUUGUUAAGUUGACUUAACCCUUAUUAUCCUAUGUUUGACCUCAAAGAACUCUACCAAUUUGGAAAAGUUUGGAUCAUUUACUCGUGCCUUUAAGGUAAUCACUUGCAGACUGUCUUAGACAUGGUUCAUAAAUAUGAUUUGCAGUAGUCUUUCCUCCUUUUUGUAAUUUUCUACAAGUUAGGAAGGCUAAUUUUUUUUCUCCUAUACUCCUGCCAUCGCUACUUUAAUUUGUGGAUCCAAAUGAUUAUAAGGUGCUUGCAGUGUGCCAUGAAUGGGCGGGCAGUUGUUAAUUGGCAAUAGACAUAAGUGGGAUGGUAAUCAAUAAAUUAUAUUCUUAUGCGGAAAUUUAUUACUCGUUUUACAGAGUUGGGGUUAGUUUUGGAGUUAUCAGGAUCAGACAGGUAUAGGUAAUUACUUUGUCUUUGCAGAGUUAUUCUUUAGCAGAAAUGUUAUUCCACUUGCAUGAAAAUCUACUUCAGUGGGCUGGGAUUCAAGGUUACUCCUUUUGGCAAACAUUAAACUUGCAAUUUUGUGGGUGCCUGGAGGUAACCGAAAAUUAUAAUCUGUAGAGUAGUUUGUUUCUAUUUAGUUUGCAGGAAACGGCAGGUAAUCUGGUGAACCUUGAUGGUCAGAUUGCUGCUAGUAAGUAGAUAUUUUAUGCUGAGGAGUGGUUUGUGCAGGAAAAUAAACUUACAAAUAGUUGCUGCUUGUGGAACUACUAAUAUUCAAAGAACACAAGAAAUGAGAAACCGAAUGUAACUACAUUUGGAUUGGAGGACCGCCGGUGUGACCCUUAUCUGCAUUUGACAAUUGAAAACAUUAUUAGGUACCUGUUUAUGAGAGAUCUGCUACUUAGGAAUAAAGACGUGUAUCAUCAAAAGGAGCUCGCGUGGAUGGUAUAUAUUAUGAACAGGUAGUCAUGUUUUGAUUGAAAUUUAAAAGAAACCCUGCCCUCAUUGAUAUCUGACCAUAUAUUUGGAUCUCUGUUAUUUAUUUAAAAAAACCCUUAUAAUUUCUUAGAUCCAAACGGUAGAAGUUUGCAUAAGAUCUAUUCCUCCUACUCCUCAAACCCGUCCACUUAAAAUGAAUGAGAUGUAAGCUAUAUGUAGACUGAUUCCUAUACCCAGAGCAUAAACAGAAACUCUGAGCAUGGAUACACUAUUCUAUUCAUUGAAUCAUUUUGUUGUCAA
Molecule: RNA transcript, 2919 nt
Organism: Corylus avellana
Lineage: Eukaryota; Viridiplantae; Streptophyta; Magnoliopsida; Fagales; Betulaceae
Gene name: LUC7 N terminus domain-containing protein
Source: RefSeq, a predicted model, not a curated record